RNAcentral lists this ribosomal RNA (497 nucleotides) under uncultured bacterium. Its description in RNAcentral is "partial 16S ribosomal RNA". It matches the Rfam family "Bacterial small subunit ribosomal RNA", at positions 28 to 507 of the family's 1533-position model. The record is from RNAcentral.
GAUGAACGCUGGCGGCGUGCCUAAUACAUGCAAGUCGAGCGAACAGACGAGGAGCUUGCUCCUCUGACGUUAGCGGCGGACGGGUGAGUAACACGUGGAUAACCUACCUAUAAGACUGGGAUAACUUCGGGAAACCGGAGCUAAUACCGGAUAAUAUAUUGAACCGCAUGGUUUAAUAGUGAAAGACGGUUUUGCUGUCACUUAUAGUUGGAUCCGCGCCGCAUUAGCUAGUUGGUAAGGUAACGGCUUACCAAGGCAACGAUGCGUAGCCGACCUGGGAGGGUGAUCGGCCACACUGGACCUGAGACACGGUCCAGACUCCUACGGGAGGAAGCAGUAGGGAAUCUUCCGCAAUGGGCGAAAGCUUGACGGAGCAACGCCGCGUGAGUGAUGAAGGUCUUCGGAUCGUAAAACUCUGUUAUUAGGGAAGAACAAAUGUGUAAGUAACUAUGCACGUCUUGACGGUACCUAAUCAGAAAGCCACGGCUAACUACGUG